GUGCUUGGGUAGCUCAGUUGGUAGAGCACUUGCCCUCAAAAGGCAAAGGUCCUGAGUUCGAGUCUCAGCCAACACA
Molecule: transfer RNA, 76 nt
Filed under: Schistocerca americana (American grasshopper)
Lineage: Eukaryota; Metazoa; Arthropoda; Insecta; Orthoptera; Acrididae
Also listed under: 3 other names
Description: tRNA-Leu
Rfam family: tRNA
About the family: Transfer RNA (tRNA) molecules are approximately 80 nucleotides in length. Their secondary structure includes four short double-helical elements and three loops (D, anti-codon, and T loops).
Source: RNAcentral